Molecule: long non-coding RNA, 333 nt
Filed under: Ananas comosus (pineapple)
Lineage: Eukaryota; Viridiplantae; Streptophyta; Magnoliopsida; Poales; Bromeliaceae
Description: long non-coding RNA (ACOM_LNC018500)
Source: RNAcentral
GAUUCAGAACGUCUAACAAUCAAAUUUCUAAGCAUCAAGAGGUAUCAAAAUUAACGAUUCAAAAUUAUGUUGGUUUAAAGGGACCAGCAUCCCGUCUUAUGACAGGAGGUUAGGCCAUGCUUAGCCACGCUCUAAAUCGCAGGAGGUUGGAUUUGCUUGAGUCAUUUUCGAAGUGGUAGAAAGUUGAUUGAAUCAAGUCAUAAUCGAAAUCCAUGAGCGCUGACAUGCUGUAUCUGUACGAUUUAAGUGAAUUAAUUAUAUCUUUCUAAUAGGUCGAAGUUUUGAAAUUGAUAGUUAGUACUAAUGAGUCGACAAAUUAUAUAUAAAGAAAUG